Molecule: small RNA, 302 nt
Filed under: Histoplasma capsulatum var. duboisii H88
Lineage: Eukaryota; Fungi; Ascomycota; Eurotiomycetes; Onygenales; Ajellomycetaceae
Description: Histoplasma capsulatum H88 hypothetical RNA
Source: RNAcentral
AAAAAAGAUGGCUAUCCCCGCGGCGACAAGCUGCCUUGGGGGAAUUUGUUGCCUUGGGGGACAAUUGAAAAUUGAGAUACAUGUCUGAGUUUCAGAUCUCUUACACAUGUUUCAACCACUGUGAUACUCAACACUCCCACUCAAUAGCAAUCAUCAAGGUUGUCAGUGAUCAUUCAUCACAGUCAUAACAGGCCUCACUAAAAUCUUCUUCAAAAGGAAAAACCUUCUACAAAGGAAAAACUUAAGAAUGAAGAAAAGAAUAUUUAUAUAUUUCAUUUCUGUUUUAAGAUUCAUACACUGCA